Non-coding RNA from Schistosoma curassoni, 45 nucleotides. Lineage: Eukaryota; Metazoa; Platyhelminthes; Trematoda; Strigeidida; Schistosomatidae. The record is from Rfam.
AUCCAUCUGACGAGUCGUAAAUAGAACGAAACACGCGUCCUUGAU